Molecule: ribosomal RNA, 253 nt
Filed under: uncultured bacterium
Lineage: Bacteria
Description: partial 16S ribosomal RNA
Rfam family: Bacterial small subunit ribosomal RNA
Source: RNAcentral
UACAGAGGUCUCAAGCGUUGUUCGGAUUCAUUGGGCGUAAAGGGUGCGUAGGUGGCGCGCUAAGUCAGGUGUGAAAUUUCGGAGCUUAACUCCGAAACUGCAUUUGAUACUGGCGUGCUUGAGGACUGGAGAGGAGACUGGAAUUUACGGUGUAGCAGUGAAAUGCGUAGAGAUCGUAAGGAAGACAAGUGGCGAAGGCGGGUCUCUGGGCAACAACUGACGCUGAGGAGCGAAAGCGUGGGGAGCGAACAGG